Molecule: ribosomal RNA, 439 nt
Filed under: uncultured bacterium
Lineage: Bacteria
Description: partial 16S ribosomal RNA
Rfam family: Bacterial small subunit ribosomal RNA
Source: RNAcentral
CUACGGGUGGCACCAGCGGGGAAUAUUGCACAAUGGGGGGAACCCUGAUGCAGCAACGCCGCGUGGAGGAUGACGCAUUUCGGUGUGUAAACUCCUUUUAUAUGUCAAGAAAAUGACGGUAGCAUAUGAAUAAGCACCGGCUAACUCCGUGCCAGCAGCCGCGGUAAUACGGAGGGUGCAAGCGUUACUCGGAAUCACUGGGCGUAAAGGACGCGUAGGCGGGUUGGAAAGUCAGGUGUGAAAUCCUACAGCUUAACUGUAGAACUGCACUUGAAACUUCUAAUCUAGAGUAUGGGAGGGGGAGAUGGAAUUAGUGGUGUAGGGGUAAAAUCCGUAGAUAUCACUAGGAAUACCUAAAGCGAAGGCGAUCUCCUGGAACAUUACUGACGCUAAGGCGUGAAAGCGUGGGGAGCAAACAGGAUUAGAUACCCUCGUAGUC